Molecule: ribosomal RNA, 394 nt
Filed under: uncultured bacterium
Lineage: Bacteria
Description: partial 16S ribosomal RNA
Rfam family: Bacterial small subunit ribosomal RNA
Source: RNAcentral
CCUACGGGCGGCAGCAGUGAGGAAUAUUGGUCAAUGGUCGAGAGACUGAACCAGCCAAGUAGCGUGAAGGAUGACGGCCCUAUGGGUUGUAAACUUCUUUUAUAAGGGAAUAAAACGAGGCACGUGUGCCUUUUUGUAUGUACCUUAUGAAUAAGGAUCGGCUAACUCCGUGCCAGCAGCCGCGGUAAUACGGAGGGUCCGAGCGUUAUCCGGAUUUAUUGGGUUUAACGGGAGCGUAGAUGGGGUGUUAAGUCAGUUGUGAAAGCCUGGGGCUCAACCUUAGUAUUGCAGUUGAUACUGGCAUUCUUGAGUACGAGUGAGGUAUGCGGAAUUCGUGGUGUAGCGGUGAAAUGCUUAGAUAUCACGAAGAACCCCGAUUGCGAAGGCAGCAUAC